UCCCGCCUUAGCUCAAUUUGGCAGAGCGUUGGACUGUAGAUCCAAAUGUUGCUGGUUCAAGUCCGGCAGGCGGGAU
Molecule: transfer RNA, 76 nt
Filed under: Methanobrevibacter smithii
Lineage: Archaea; Methanobacteriati; Methanobacteriota; Methanobacteria; Methanobacteriales; Methanobacteriaceae
Also listed under: 3 other names
Description: tRNA-Tyr
Rfam family: tRNA
About the family: Transfer RNA (tRNA) molecules are approximately 80 nucleotides in length.
Source: RNAcentral